Molecule: ribosomal RNA, 253 nt
Filed under: uncultured bacterium
Lineage: Bacteria
Description: partial 16S ribosomal RNA
Rfam family: Bacterial small subunit ribosomal RNA
Source: RNAcentral
GACAGAGGGUGCAAACGUUGUUCGGAAUAACUGGGCGUAAAGCGCGUGUAGGCGGCUAUGUAAGUCGGGCGUGAAAUCCCACGGCUCAACCGUGGAAGUGCACCCGAAACUGCGUAGCUAGAGUCCUGGAGAGGAAGGUGGAAUGCUUGGUGUAGAGGUGAAAUUCGUAGAUAUCAAGCGGAACACCGGUGGCGAAGGCGGCCUUCUGGACAGUGACUGACGCUGAGACGCGAAAGCGUGGGGAGCAAACAGG